UAUGUGAUCGUCUCUCGCAUAUCAAUAAGCGGAGGAAAAGAAACUAACAAGGAUUCCCCUAGUAACGGCGAGUGAAGCGGGAAGAGCUCAAAUUUGAAAUCUUAAAGGGUUUCCCUUUACGAAUUGUAGUUUAAAGAAGUGUUUUCUGUUGAGGUUUUGGUAAAAGUUCUUUGGAAUAGGACAUCAUAGAGGGUGGGAAUCCCGUAUUUGACCUUUACUUUCAACUUUGUGAUACACUUUCAAAGAGUCGGAUUGUUUGGGAAUGCAGUCCAAAAUGGGUGGUAAAUUUCAUCUAAAGCUAAAUAUUGGCGAGAGACCGAUAGCGAACAAGUACCGUGAGGGAAAGAUGAAAAGAACUUUGAAAAGAGAGUUAAACAGUACGUGAAAUUGUCAAAAGGGAAGCGUUUGACACCAGUGUUGUUUUUCUGAAAAUCAAUUAAAGAACUGUUUAUGCUAAGCUGUUUAGACUUUAUCAGCUAUCUGUUUAGUUUUGAGCUUUUCUUUAAUGCACUCUUCAGUUAACAAGUCAACAUCAAUUUCUUUUGCUGUAAAAAAGCUUGAGGAAGGUGGCUUGAGAUUCGUCUUAAGUGUUUAUAGCCUCUUGCCUAUGCAGUCAGAGAGAUUGAGGUCUGCAGCGUAGAUCCUUCGGGGCUAAAUGCAUUUGUGCUAAGUUAUAGCAUUUUAUAGACAAACUUGUUGACUAUGAUUUGUCUUGUAGCUUACUCGCUUAUGUUAUUUUACCUACGCUUAGGAUGUUGAUCUACAGAGCGAGAGU
RNAcentral lists this ribosomal RNA (775 nucleotides) under uncultured Neocallimastigales. Its description in RNAcentral is "partial large subunit ribosomal RNA". It matches the Rfam family "Eukaryotic large subunit ribosomal RNA", at positions 24 to 635 of the family's 3401-position model. Lineage: Eukaryota; Fungi; Neocallimastigomycota; Neocallimastigomycetes; Neocallimastigales. The record is from RNAcentral.